Long non-coding RNA from Lutra lutra (Eurasian river otter), 593 nucleotides. RefSeq lists it as uncharacterized. Lineage: Eukaryota; Metazoa; Chordata; Mammalia; Carnivora; Mustelidae. The transcript is spliced from 2 exons. The record is from RefSeq and is a predicted model, not a curated record.
CUUGCCCCCUGCACCAUUGACUCAUCCUCCUCCCCUCACAGUCGGGGAUCAUGAAGGACCGCCUGAGACAGAAGGCCGCCCACUCCUCAGAUUUCCCCACCAGAGUCUCAGUGACAUUAAAGAGCAAAUAAACACAAACGGGAACAUGGAAGAAGGAAAAUGCUCUCCGUCAGUGCCUCCACAUUUUCAUUGCUGCUUGCUGACGAGUGGGACCACGAUGAGGUAGGAAGCCCCAUUCCUGGGGCAGGAGAAUUGAAGUCUGGAAUGCAGCUGCUGGAGGUAACACUUGACCUGGGUCUUGAAAUGUAUAGGAGUCUCCAGGCAGAUCAGGCCAUCCGAAAUGAGCAGAAGGAAAAGCAAAGCUCCUACCUGGGCGUAUGAACACAUGUCUUUGUCUGGCUGCUGCGCGAUCCUGGAAUUUGUAAGAAACAUGUGCUUGGUCUUCAUCCACAGUUCCUGGCCCACAGCUCCCAAACCUUGGGGUCUCCUGGCCAAUAAGAGCAAUGGGGGUGUCUUUGUUAUAAUGUUUGGUCCCUUGUCCUCAGUUCCUAGGGUCACUUCAAAGCCAUAAAGAUGAAAUUGUUGUCGAAUGA